ACAGAGGUUGAAUAAGUUAGGUCUUUAUUCUCUGGAGCGCAGAAGGUUAAGGGGGGACUUGAUAGAGGUCUUUAAAAUGAUGAGAGGGAUAGACAGAGUUGAUGUGGAUAAGCUUUUCCGUUUGAGAAUAGGGAAGAUUCAAACAAGCGGACAUGACUUCAGAAUUAAGGGACAGAAGUUUAGGGGUAAUAUGAGGGGGAACUUCUUUACUCAGAGAGUGGUAGCGGUGUGGAAUGAGCUUCCAGUGGAAGUGGUGGAGGCAGGUUCAUUGGUAUCAUUUAAAGAUAAAUUGGAUAGGCAUAUGGAUGAGAAGGGAAUGGAGGGUUAUGGUAUGAGUGCAGGCAGGUGGGACUAAGGGGAAAAAAGUUGUUCGGCACGGACUUGUAGGGCCGAGAUGGCCUGUUUCGGUGCUGUAAUUGUUAUAUGGUUAUAUGGUUAAGAGGGAGUGGUCACGGUGCGACUGGUCCUUGAUGAUGCUGCUGGCCUCGCGAGUCCGCGUGAGAAAGGUCACUGCACAACAUGAGGCCAACCGGCCAUCGAGUCUAGCUUUUCGCCGUUUCCCCGCCUGUUCCCAUCCCUGUCCGUGGCUCUGCAAAUCGGACCCCCCUGAUGCGGUACCGAUCUGGAAUCUUGAACAAAGCCCUGAGUGUUGGAGGAACAUAUAGGCAGCACCUAUAGACGGUAUAGGUUGACAAAUGUACCUGUUUUAACUUGCAAGACACUUCACACACUGGCCGGGGAGUUUUUGAACGCCAUGUUUUCACUGUGCGGAUGGCAGUAGAACGAUCAUAUUCGGAUCUGGGACCAAGCUGUCUGUGAUACCUAAACGUGAUGAGGAUCUGAAUCCGUCCGUCUAUGUCCUCCGGGCACCCGCGGCGAGCCCCGGUGACCAGCAGGCCCCGGCGGCCUGCCUCGCCACCGACUAUUUCCCGAACAAGUACAACCUCACCGUGACCGUGGGUGACACGUCCAAGACCAGCAGCAGCGGUAGUGCCCAGGUUUCCGACGCCGACAAGAGUUACAGCCUCCUCAGUUUCGUCAACGACUCCACGCCCGAGAGCAAAAUCACCUGCUCGCUGACUCCCAACGUGACAGCAGACGGGGAAAGCGACGUUGGCAAGCUGAGUUGCAUUACACUUGAGGAGACUGAUGAAGAUGG
Molecule: long non-coding RNA, 1159 nt
Organism: Leucoraja erinaceus (little skate)
Lineage: Eukaryota; Metazoa; Chordata; Chondrichthyes; Rajiformes; Rajidae
Exons: 3
Source: RefSeq, a predicted model, not a curated record